CCUACGGGAGGCUGCAGUCGAGAAUCAUUCACAAUGGGGGAAACCCUGAUGGUGCGACGCCGCGUGGGGGAAUGAAGUUCUUCGGAUUGUAAACCCCUGUCAUGUGGGAGCAAAUUAAAAAGAUAGUACCACAAGAGGAAGAGACGGCUAACUCUGUGCCAGCAGCCGCGGUAAUACAGAGGUCUCAAGCGUUGUUCGGAAUCACUGGGCGUAAGGCGUGCGUAGGCUGUUUCGUAAGUCGUGUGUGAAAGGUGCGGGGUCAACCCGCGGAGGGCACAUGAUACUGCGAGACUAGAGUGAUGGAGAGGGAACCGGAAUGCUCGGUGUAGCAGUGAAAUGCGUAGAUAUCGAGAGGAA
Molecule: ribosomal RNA, 357 nt
Filed under: uncultured bacterium
Lineage: Bacteria
Description: partial 16S ribosomal RNA
Rfam family: Bacterial small subunit ribosomal RNA
Source: RNAcentral